Molecule: long non-coding RNA, 627 nt
Organism: Episyrphus balteatus (marmalade hoverfly)
Lineage: Eukaryota; Metazoa; Arthropoda; Insecta; Diptera; Syrphidae
Exons: 3
Source: RefSeq, a predicted model, not a curated record
AGCAACAUAUUAGUUAAGAAAAAAGAACAUUUCUGUGCUCCAUUUGAUAGAUAAAUAGAACAAUUUAACUUAAAAAAUAAAUAAUCUUCUCAGUGUUAUUUGUUUUAUUUUAAUCUACCGCACAAAUUCUUCGGCACGACACAUAAAUUCCACCACCAUUUCCACCAAAAAAAUGUCACAAAAACCACCACCAAUUGAUUUGGAAAAUAAAGUGGAGAUCAAUUCCAGACAUCAAUGACUGAGUUUACAGUUCAAAAGGUUCCUCCACGCUAUCCAGAACGAGUGAAAUGAAUCUUAUGUUUAAUACAGACUACAAUACUUUAGUGUGAUCCACAUUUUACAGACUUGUAGUGUCUGCACCCUCUGACCACUUGUUGAUGUGUUCGCUCUAAUCCUAGACAAAAACAACAUUCAACAAUUCUAUAUCGGGUAUAAAAAUGACGUCAGAGACUCCUUGCUCGCCACAGUUCGUAUUACAAACGCAUUGCGAGGCAUGCAUUUUGUUCCCCUCAACAGUUGUGUGGAUAGAUAUGAUAUUAGAGAAAUUCAACGCCAACAUUUCUCAUAGUGGUCUUAAAUAAAGUGUCACACAAGACGUAUGUUUUGAUAUUAUAUAAUUCGACUGAA